Molecule: ribosomal RNA, 249 nt
Filed under: uncultured Gardnerella sp.
Lineage: Bacteria; Bacillati; Actinomycetota; Actinomycetes; Bifidobacteriales; Bifidobacteriaceae
Description: partial 16S ribosomal RNA
Rfam family: Bacterial small subunit ribosomal RNA
Source: RNAcentral
UAGAGUAAUGCGUGACCAACCUGCCCCAUGCUCCAGAAUAGCUCUUGGAAACGGGUGGUAAUGCUGGAUGCUCCAACUUGACGCAUGUCUUGUUGGGAAAGUGUUUAGUGGCAUGGGAUGGGGGUCGCGUCCUAUCAGCUUGUAGGCGGGGUAAUGGCCCACCUAGGCUUCGACGGGUAGCCGGCCUGAGAGGGCGGACGGCCACAUUGGGACUGAGAUACGGCCCAGACUCCUACGGGAGGCAGCAGC